RNAcentral lists this ribosomal RNA (396 nucleotides) under uncultured bacterium. RNAcentral describes it as "partial 16S ribosomal RNA". It matches the Rfam family "Bacterial small subunit ribosomal RNA", at positions 523 to 917 of the family's 1533-position model. The record is from RNAcentral.
AUACGUAGGUGGCAAGCGUUGUCCGGAAUAACUGGGCGUAAAGCGCAUGUAGACGGCAUGAUAAGCCAAAUGUGAAAUGUAGGGGCUCAACCCCUGCACUGCGAUUGGAACUGUCAAGCUUGAGUGCAGGAGAGGCAAAUGGAAUUCCCAGUGUAGCAGUGAAAUGCGUAGAGAUUGGGAGGAACACCAGUGGCGAAGGCGAUUUGCUGGACUGCAACUGACGUUGAGAUGCGAAAGCUAGGGGAGCAAACGGGAUUAGAUACCCCGGUAGUCCUAGCCGUAAACGAUGGAUACUAGGUGUAGAGGGUAUCGACCCCUUCUGUGCCGCAGCGAACGCAAUAAGUAUCCCGCCUGGGGAGUACGGUCGCAAGACUGAAACUCAAAGGAAUUGACGGG